AGUUUCAAUUGAUCAAGAUUGCCGAACUCUUCGACAGUGCGUUGCCCGGUGCGUCGGUUCGAAUCCGAUUGAAUCUC
RNAcentral lists this transfer RNA (77 nucleotides) under Rosistilla carotiformis. RNAcentral describes it as "Planctomycetes bacterium Poly24 tRNA-Arg". Lineage: Bacteria; Pseudomonadati; Planctomycetota; Planctomycetia; Pirellulales; Pirellulaceae. The record is from RNAcentral.